RNAcentral lists this small RNA (125 nucleotides) under Marmota monax (woodchuck). The record is from RNAcentral. Lineage: Eukaryota; Metazoa; Chordata; Mammalia; Rodentia; Sciuridae.
GCUGGGCGUGAUGGCACAUGCCUGUAAUCCUAGUAGCUUGGGAGGCUGAGACAGGAGGAUCAUGAGUUCAAAGCCAGUCUCAGCAAAAGUGAGGCACUAAGCAACUCAGAGAGAUCCUGUCUCUA